AAACAUUUCAUUACACCGCCUUGCCGAUUUCUAAGCUGGCAAAGGCUAUCUCAAACUAACCAAAACCCACACACAAUCUUCUAAGAAUAGAAACUUAAGGCUCUGGCGUAGCCCAAAACUGGGGUUAAUUCUCGAUGGGUGAGGAGGCCUGGAAUGGUUCUCCACUGAAAGGGCGCUAGAGGCAUGCUCUCUAACGUUGCCCAAGGAUGGGGCCGCGGCCGAUCAGGUUGUUGGUGAGGUAACGGCUUACCAAGCCUUAUAACCGGUACGGCCGUGAGAGCGGAGCCCGAGAUGGCACUGAGAUAAGGCCCAGGCCUACGGGGCGCAGCAGUUGCGAAAACUCGCCAAUGCACGAAAGUGUGAGCGGGCUACCCCGAGUGCCGUCCGCUGAGGAUGGCUUUUCUCUGCUGUAAGGAGGCGGAGGAAUAAGGAGAGGGCAAGACUGGUGUCAGCCGCCGCGGUAAUACCAGCUCUCCGAGUGGUAGGGGUGAUUAUUGGGCUUAAAGCGUCCGUAGCCGGCCUAGCAAGUCUUCCGUUAAAUCCAGCAACCCAAUUGUUGGGCUGCGGGGGAUACUGUUAGGCUAGGGGGCGGGAGAGGCCGACGGUAUUCUCGGGGUAGGGGUGAAAUCUUAUAAUCCCGGGAGGACCACCAGUGGCGAAGGCUGUCGGCUAGCACGCGCCUGACGGUGAGGGACGAAAGCUGGGGGAGCGAACCGGAUUAGAUACCCGGGUAGUCCCUGCUGUAAACGAUGCGUGCUAGGUGUUGGGGCGGCUACGAGCCGCUUCAGUGCCGCAGCGAAGGCGUUAAGCUCGCCGCCUGGGGAGUACGGCCGCAAGGCUGAAACUUAAAGGAAUUGGCGGGGGAGCA
Molecule: ribosomal RNA, 868 nt
Filed under: uncultured archaeon
Lineage: Archaea
Description: bacterial SSU rRNA
Rfam family: Archaeal small subunit ribosomal RNA
Source: RNAcentral